UACAGUCUGCAUGUGCCUAGG
Molecule: microRNA, 21 nt
Filed under: Gallus gallus (chicken)
Lineage: Eukaryota; Metazoa; Chordata; Aves; Galliformes; Phasianidae
Description: microRNA Ros-gga
Source: RNAcentral